CCCAGACUCCUACGGGAGGCAGCAGUGGGGGAUAUUGCACAAUGGGGGGAACCCUGAUGCAGCGACGCCGCGUGGGUGAAGGAGCGUUUCGGCGCGUAAAGCCCUAUCGGCAGGGAAGAAGGAGGACGGUACCUGACUAAGAAGCCCCGGCCAACUACGUGCCAGCAGCCGCGGUAAUACGUAGGGGGCAAGCGUUAUCCGGAUUUACUGGGUGUAAAGGGGGCGCAGACGGCAGCGCAAGCCAGGAGUGAAAGCCCGGGGCCCAACCCCGGGACUGCUCUUGGAACUGCGCGGCUGGAGUGCAGGAGGGGCAGGCGGAAUUCCUGGUGUAGCGGUGAAAUGCGUAGAUAUCAGGAGGAACACCGGUGGCGAAGGCGGCCUGCUGGACUGCGACUGACGUUGAGGCCCGAAAGCGUGGGGAGCAAACAGGAUUAGAUACCCGCGUA
This 446-nucleotide ribosomal RNA is filed under the name uncultured bacterium. RNAcentral describes it as "partial 16S ribosomal RNA". It matches the Rfam family "Bacterial small subunit ribosomal RNA", at positions 330 to 792 of the family's 1533-position model. The record is from RNAcentral.